GUGAGACAUAGACCCUAUGAGGGCUUGAGGCUUUCGUUGCUCUCGGACGUCAAAAAGGGUCCUUUGAUGACUGGGCGGUUACCUCAUCAGAGUGACAUGAGCUACAGAUGCGAAGGAUGUCCUUUUCAAAUCUGUGGGUAGCAACAAAGGUUGACCUUUCCAUCUUUAUACACUCCUAACCUCAAGAACACUCACCAAAAACUCUGAAUAACUGGGCCUGCAUAAAGCCAUCGUGCUGUAUUUCCCUGAGAUUUGAAGACUGCCUAAAGACUGUUAAGUUUCCUAGUCAACUACAAGUAUCAAUAAUAAACGACACUUGAAUGUGAAUGCUUAACAAGAAGGGAAACUUCAACAAAUUUUAUGUUUUAUCCUGUGUGCAAUCAUUUUUAUGGGUUCUACUUUACUAAAGAAAAUCUCUCUGAUUUUCAAAGCAUAAUAGAUACAGUAUGCUAUGUUUACAAUGAUGGGCAAAGAAGGAGAAGACAACGUAGAUUUAGUAUGUCAUUUGUAAAAUGAUAAAAUGCUAAAAUCUUCAAUUACAGCUCUUUAAAAAGAAUUGGAGGAGAGAGAUAAGCUUCAAUGUGCAUUGUGAGUCACCUCACAAAUUUAGAAGAAAAUGAACACCCAUUUCACUGGUUUUGAUUUGGAAAUUUUACCAUUUUACUUCAUAGCCUUUGAAGUUUCUAUGUAUUUAAAUCGUGUGCUGCUAUGCAACUGCGUCUUAUCUCAGACGGAUCCUUCCUCAAGUGAACAGGAAAGAACAUGUUUGACUAGCUAAUAUUUUGUCCUCUGGUUUUUCAUUGAGCCAUCAAGGUCUGUCAUAAAGGGAGUUUCAAAAUAAAACAGGACAGCGAGACAGAAACAAGCUAGCUGGAUACAAGAGAGUCUGAAAGUCUGAUCCUGAGAGAAAAUUUCCUAGGGGGAUUAUGUUAGGAAAAGACUUAACCUGGCCACAUUUAAAGGAAAGCAUAAACUCUAAAAGUAUUCCCCAAAUCUUUCAAGUGACUUCCUCUGGCAUAAGAACUAGACUGAUAAAUAUUUGUAACAUGAAAAAUGAAUGACCUAGAGACUGAUUUGGGGUUCAAGCUUCAAGCUAAAUAUCAGAAAAGUAAAGCAGCUGGCCUCUAGCUUCUUACCUCUACCUCAGACUGAAUAGGAUGAUCCAGGCUCCAUGAGCUAUCACCAAGCUUCUGACUGUAACCUUUCCUCAGUGUGAUUAAAGGAGUGUGCCUAGCUUCUA
Long non-coding RNA from Mesocricetus auratus (golden hamster), 1240 nucleotides. RefSeq lists it as uncharacterized. Lineage: Eukaryota; Metazoa; Chordata; Mammalia; Rodentia; Cricetidae. The record is from RefSeq and is a predicted model, not a curated record. The transcript has 2 exons.